CUCUCAAUCCUUAUUAGAUCAAACUUCUAUUUGAAGAAUUAGUCUCACAGCAGCCGACUAACAGUACAACUUGAUACAUAAUUAUAUGCCCAAAAAAGUACUUAUGUAAUAUCUAUUCGACUUCAUGGAGUAUUGGGACCUCAUUAGAAAAAAGAAAAAAGACAUUAUUUCCACUUCAUACUAUACAAGAAAAGUCGAAGUCACAUUUAAACUUUAUAAGUGAUCUAUUACACAUCUUAACUAUAUAAAAGUGAUAUUAUUACCUCCUCGCGACCCCCUUUCUAAGGCGCGUAUGUUACACUUAUUUUAGGCGCGUCCAACCUACUAAAUAACAAAAGUAGACGGCUAAAAUCAUUAAGGGAAAAAACAUUGUUUCCACCCCAAACUAUAGUUGAAAAGUCGAAUCCACAUCUAAACUAUAUAAGUGACCUAUUACAUACCUUAACUAUUAAAAAGUGAUACUUUUUACUCUCUAGAUCUGACGUGAAAAAUACAUAAUUAUUUAAAUAAAAAUUGACGCGUUUAAAUUAAAAGUUAAUGCAAAAAAAAUUUAAAAAAUUAAAAUACUCCUCCC
RNAcentral lists this long non-coding RNA (574 nucleotides) under Capsicum annuum. Its description in RNAcentral is "long non-coding RNA (CANN_LNC000487)". Lineage: Eukaryota; Viridiplantae; Streptophyta; Magnoliopsida; Solanales; Solanaceae. The record is from RNAcentral.